CCUACGGGAGGCAGCAGUGGGGAAUUUUGGACAAUGGGCGCAAGCCUGAUCCAGCCAUGCCGCGUGUGGGAAGAAGGCCUUCGGGUUGUAAACCACUUUUGUCAGGGAAGAAACGGUCUGAACUAAUACUUUGGACUAAUGACGGUACCUGAAGAAUAAGCACCGGCUAACUACGUGCCAGCAGCCGCGGUAAUACGUAGGGUGCAAGCGUUAAUCGGAAUUACUGGGCGUAAAGCGUGCGCAGGCGGCUUUGCAAGACAGAUGUGAAAUCCCCGGGCUCAACCUGGGAACUGCAUUUGUGACUGCAUGGCUAGAGUACGGUAGAGGGGGGAUGGAAUUCCGCGUGUAGCAGUGAAAUGCGUAGAUAUGCGGAGGAACACCGAUGGCGAAGGCAAUCCCCUGGACCUGUACUGACGCUCAUGCACGAAAGCGUGGGGAGCAAACAGGAUUAGAUACCCUGGUAGUCCACGCCCUAAACGAUGUCAACUGGUUGUUGGGAGGGUUUCUUCUCAGUAACGAAGCUAACGCGUGAAGUUGACCGCCUGGGGAGUACGGCCGCAAGGUUGAAACGUCAAAGGAAUUGACGG
RNAcentral lists this ribosomal RNA (587 nucleotides) under uncultured bacterium. RNAcentral's name for it is "bacterial SSU rRNA". It matches the Rfam family "Bacterial small subunit ribosomal RNA", at positions 338 to 916 of the family's 1533-position model. The record is from RNAcentral.